UACGUAGGGUGCAAGCGUUAAUCGGAAUUACUGGGCGUAAAGCGUGCGCAGGCGGUUGUGCAAGACCGAUGUGAAAUCCCCGGGCUUAACCUGGGAAUGGCAUUGGUGACUGUACGGCUAGAGUGUGUCAGAGGGGGGUAGAAUUCCACGUGUAGCAGUGAAAUGCGUAGAGAUGUGGAGGAAUACCGAUGGCGAAGGCAGCCCCCUGGGAUAACACUGACGCUCA
RNAcentral lists this ribosomal RNA (226 nucleotides) under uncultured bacterium. Its description in RNAcentral is "partial 16S ribosomal RNA". It matches the Rfam family "Bacterial small subunit ribosomal RNA", at positions 524 to 749 of the family's 1533-position model. The record is from RNAcentral.